RNAcentral lists this ribosomal RNA (828 nucleotides) under Micrococcineae bacterium ST5-4. Its description in RNAcentral is "bacterial SSU rRNA". It matches the Rfam family "Bacterial small subunit ribosomal RNA", at positions 32 to 879 of the family's 1533-position model. The record is from RNAcentral. Lineage: Bacteria; Bacillati; Actinomycetota; Actinomycetes; Micrococcales.
AAACCUGGCGGCGUGCUUAACAUGCAAGUCGAACGAUGAUCCCAGCUUGCUGGGGGGAUUAGUGGCGAACGGGUGAGUAACACGUGAGUAACCUGCCCUUAACUCUGGGAUAAGCCUGGGAAACUGGGUCUAAUACCGGAUAUGACUCCUCAUCGCAUGGUGGGGGGUGGAAAGCUUUUUGGGGUUUUGGAUGGACUCGCGGCCUAUCAACUUGUUGGUGAAGUAAUGGCUUAACCAGGCGAACACCGGUAACCCGCCUGAAAGGGUGACCGGCCCCACUGGGACUGAAACACCGCCCAAACUCCUACCGGAGGCCACAUUGGGGAAUAUUGGACCAUGGGCGCCAGCCUGAUGCCACCACCCCCCGUGAGGGAAGACCGCCUUUUGGUUGUGAACCUAAUUCAAUUAGGAAAAAACCAAAGUUAACGUUCCUGGGGAAAAAGCCCCCGCCAAAUACCUGCCAGCCGCCCCGGUUAUACGUAUGGCCCAAGCCUUUUCCGGAAUUAUUGGGCCUUAAGAGCUCCUUAGCCGUUUGUCGCGUCCGCCGUGGAAGUUCCGGGCCCAACUCCGGAUCUUCGGUGGGUACCGGCAGACCAGAAUUAUGUAGGGGAGACUGGAAUUCCUGGUGUUACGGUGAAAUGCCCAUAUAUUAUGAGGAACACCGAUUGCCAAGGCGGUCUGUGGGCAUUAACUGGCGCUUAAGAACCGAAGCCUGGGGAGCAACAGGAUUAAUACCCGGGUAAUGCCUGCCGUAAACCUUUGGGCCCUAGUGUUGGGGACAUUUCCCGUUUUCCCCCCGUACUUACGCAUUAAUGCCCCCCCUGGGGA